Molecule: ribosomal RNA, 273 nt
Filed under: uncultured bacterium
Lineage: Bacteria
Description: partial 16S ribosomal RNA
Rfam family: Bacterial small subunit ribosomal RNA
Source: RNAcentral
UACGGAGGGUGCGAGCGUUAUCCGGAAUUACUGGGUUUAAAGGGUGCGUAGGCGGCCUGGUAAGUCAGGGGUGAAAGUCCAGGGCUUAACCGUGGGAUUGCCUUUGAUACUGCUGGGCUUGAAUGAGGUUGAGGUGGGCGGAAUGUGGCAUGUAGCGGUGAAAUGUGUAGAUAUGCCAUAGAACACCGAUUGCGAAGGCAGCUUACUGGACCUUUAUUGACGCUGAGGCACGAAAGCGUGGGGAGCGAACAGGAUUAGAUACCCUAGUAGUCC